This is a non-coding RNA of Oryzias latipes (Japanese medaka), 68 nucleotides long. NCBI's taxonomy places the organism in Eukaryota, Metazoa, Chordata, Actinopteri, Beloniformes, Adrianichthyidae. The record is from Rfam.
GGAAAUGUGCCUGAAAUAGGGUUACUUUGAUAGAGUGAAUAAUGAGGGUUAAAGCCCCUCCAUCUCCU